UACGGGGGGUGCGAGCGUUGUCCGGAAUCACUGGGCGUAAAGGGCGCGUAGGUGGUUUGAUAAGGGUGUGGUGAAAGCCCGGGGCUCAACCCCGGGUCUGCCGUGCCGACUGUCAAACUCGAGGGCUGUAGAGGCAGACGGAAUUCCGGGUGUAGCGGUGGAAUGCGUAGAGAUCCGGAGGAAGACCGGUGGCGAAGGCGGUCUGCUGGGCAGUUUCUGACACUGAUGCGCGACAGCGUGGGGAUCAAACAGG
Molecule: ribosomal RNA, 253 nt
Filed under: uncultured bacterium
Lineage: Bacteria
Description: partial 16S ribosomal RNA
Rfam family: Bacterial small subunit ribosomal RNA
Source: RNAcentral